AUCCAGCUGACGAGUUCGAAAUAGGACGAAACGUGCGUCAAGCUGAAU
Non-coding RNA from Schistosoma margrebowiei, 48 nucleotides. The record is from Rfam. Lineage: Eukaryota; Metazoa; Platyhelminthes; Trematoda; Strigeidida; Schistosomatidae.